GACGAACGCUGGCGGCGUGCUUAACACAUGCAAGUCGAACGGAAAGGCCCUUCGGGGUACUCGAGUGGCGAACGGGUGAGUAACACGUGGGUGAUCUGCCCUGCACUUUGGGAUAAGCCUGGGAAACUGGGUCUAAUACCGAAUAGGACCACGCGCUUCAUGGUGUGUGGUGGAAAGCUUUUGCGGUGUGGGAUGGGCCCGCGGCCUAUCAGCUUGUUGGUGGGGUAAUGGCCUACCAAGGCGACGACGGGUAGCCGGCCUGAGAGGGUGACCGGCCACACUGGGACUGAGGUACGGCCCAGACUCCUACGGGAGGCAGCAGUGGGGAAUAUUGCACAAUGGGCGCAAGCCUGAUGCAGCGACGCCGCGUGAGGGAUGACGGCCUUCGGGUUGUAAACCUCUUUCAAUAGGGACGAAGCGCGAGUGACGGUACCUAUAGAAGAAGCACCGGCCAACUACGUG
Molecule: ribosomal RNA, 462 nt
Filed under: uncultured bacterium
Lineage: Bacteria
Description: partial 16S ribosomal RNA
Rfam family: Bacterial small subunit ribosomal RNA
Source: RNAcentral